UAAUACCGGAUACGAGCUGCGAAGGCAUCUUCAGCAGCUGGAAAGAAUUUCGGUCAGGGAUGAGCUCGCGGCCUAUCAGCUUGUUGGUGAGGUAACGGCUCACCAAGGCGUCGACGGGUAGCCGGCCUGAGAGGGUGACCGGCCACACUGGGACUGAGACACGGCCCAGACUCCUACGGGAGGCAGCAGUGGGGAAUAUUGCACAAUGGGCGAAAGCCUGAUGCAGCAACGCCGCGUGAGGGACGACGGCCUUCGGGUUGUAAACCUCUUUUAGCAGGAAAGAAGCGAAAGUGACGGUACCUGCAGAAAAAGCGCCGGCUAACUACGUGCCAGCAGCCGCGGUAAUACGUAGGGCGCAAGCGUUAUCCGGAAUUAUUGGGCGUAAAGAGCUCGUAGGCGGUCUGUCGCGUCUGCUGUGAAAACCCGAGGCUCAACCUCGGGCCUGCAGUGGGUACGGGCAGACUAGAGUGCGGUAGGGGAGAUUGGAAUUCCUGGUGUAGCGGUGGAAUGCGCAGAUAUCAGGAGGAACACCGAUGGCGAAGGCAGAUCUCUGGGCCGUAACUGACGCUGAGGAGCGAAAGGGUGGGGAGCAAACAGGCUUAGAUACCCUGGUAGUCCACCCCGUAAACGUUGGGAACUAGUUGUGGGGUCCAUUCCACGGAUUCCGUGACGCAGCUAACGCAUUAAGUUCCCCGCCUGGGGAGUACGGCCGCAAGGCUAAAACUCAAAGGAAUUGACGGGGACCCGCACAAGCGGCGGAGCAUGCGGAUUAAUUCGAUGCAACGCGAAGAACCUUACCAAGGCUUGACAUAUACGAGAACGCUGCAGAAAUGUAGAACUCUUUGGACACUCGUAAACAGGUGGUGCAUGGUUGUCGUCAGCUCGUGUCGUGAGAUGUUGGGUUAAGUCCCGCAACGAGCGCAACCCUCGUUCUAUGUUGCCAGCACGUAAUGGUGGGAACUCAUGGGAUACUGCCGGGGUCAACUCGGAGGAAGGUGGGGAUGACGUCAAAUCAUCAUGCCCCUUAUGUCUUGGGCUUCACGCAUGCUACAAUGGCCGGUACAAAGGGCUGCAAUACCGCGAGGUGGAGCGAAUCCCAAAAAGCCGGUCCCAGUUCGGAUUGAGGUCUGCAACUCGACCUCAUGAAGUCGGAGUCGCUAGUAAUCGCAGAUCAGCAACGCUGCGGUGAAUACGUUCCCGGGUCUUGUACACACCGCCCGUCA
Molecule: ribosomal RNA, 1223 nt
Filed under: Microbacterium saccharophilum
Lineage: Bacteria; Bacillati; Actinomycetota; Actinomycetes; Micrococcales; Microbacteriaceae
Description: bacterial SSU rRNA
Rfam family: Bacterial small subunit ribosomal RNA
Source: RNAcentral